Carya illinoinensis is the source of this 830-nucleotide long non-coding RNA. RefSeq lists it as uncharacterized. NCBI's taxonomy places the organism in Eukaryota, Viridiplantae, Streptophyta, Magnoliopsida, Fagales, Juglandaceae. The transcript has 2 exons. The record is from RefSeq and is a predicted model, not a curated record.
ACCCUGGACAUAUGUACUUCACCAACCUCCUUAGUCAAGAUCAUCAACUCAACCCCACUUAAGGUGGGCAAAGUGGAACCUCUCCGGGAAUAGAUCAAAAACACUCCCAAGUGAAGGAGGAUCCAAAGCGAAGGAAGACGAUGUCCCCGUCCCUGACCCCGACUCGAUGUUCGAGUGCUGCAGUAGAUUCAGUCUUUGAUCUUGAGGCGGAUAAUGUGAUGGAGAAUGAGGUGAUCAAAUUGGACCGACCAAUGGGAAGGAAAGUUGAGAAAGGAAAAUGAAAUGCCCAAGGCAGGCAGGCAGAGGAAAAUUUAGAACUCAGAAAGAUGAAAUAUACGCUUUUGGAGGAUUCACGCGCUCAAGAGAAAGAGUUUUAUCGUCUUAAGGCCAAGAAGAUGGAGUAUGACAAGGAAAAAGAGGAAAAAAAUUAUGUCUCAAGGAUAACAGACUGAGAUUGGAGGCCGAGAAGAUGAUAAUUGAUCGGGAAAAAAAGCUAAAUAAAAUCUGUCAAGAGAACGAAAGACUCAGGUUGGAGGCGCAGAAAGUAGAGCUUGAAUUGAAGGAAGCAGAUCAACGCAUUAUGAUGAUGGAUGUGAGUGCCAUGCCAGAAAUGCAGCGGUUAUAUUUGAGACGCAAUGCUACAGCAGAUUUGAAUUGAUUGAAUAUAUUUUUGAAAAAAGUUGUAUUUCUUAUUUUAUAUUUCGGACAAUGAUAGAUGAGUAAAAAGUAAUGUGAAUAUUUUUUUGUAUUUUUAUUGUGGUGUAAAUUGAUAUUUUUGUGUAAGAAAAUUGGCCAUUAUAAUUUCAGAAACAAUUACAAAUUACCUCAAA